Dama dama (fallow deer) is the source of this 11202-nucleotide long non-coding RNA. RefSeq lists it as uncharacterized. NCBI's taxonomy places the organism in Eukaryota, Metazoa, Chordata, Mammalia, Artiodactyla, Cervidae. The record is from RefSeq and is a predicted model, not a curated record. The transcript has 7 exons.
UCUUCUGUACAGUUUAAAUGUGCAUAAUUUCAGUAGUCCAUGCUCCCUUAUGUUAGACUAGGAUCCCAUAUCCUUGCCCUGUUUACAUUACUGCUUCUGACUAGCUGAGAUUCACUGUCUUGGACUGUUAAUGUAUGUACUUAGGUUUGCUCCUGUACCUGUACCUCAGGUAAGGACCCUCCCCAUUCUAUUUAUGUUUCAGCAGGAGGUGCCUCCUAUUUAAGAUCUUACACACUAUUGCAGUUAAUGUGCACAAUCUUAGUUGUCUUGUACACAUUCUCAGUUGUCCACAGCUGUGCUUUUUAGAUCAGGACCCUUUCACUUAUUGAAGCACAGGUUAACUUACCACCUUAAAGCCCUUGUUCUGGGACUGUGACUAUGUGUAAUUACAAUUGUCUAUGGUCUUCUGAGUUAACUUGUCUCCCUGACUCUUUUCAUCCUCUUUGCUUUACUGCGUGGGGUACUGUCCACUUAAAGCCCCUCUCUCAAAUAUGUGUAAUGACAAUUACAUUAUAGGGGCUUCAUACUCCCUUUAAGAUUCUUAUAUUUGUACAAGGUAUAUGAUUUUAAUUGACCACAUCAUGUCCCUUCAACAUUAAUUUACAUAAUUGCAACUUAGUUCAUCUUAUCCUGUUGCCUUCCCUUUCCUUAGCUUGUGAAUGUGCAUUCUUGUGCACUAGACAAGGACGCUCCCCCUCACUUCCUAUGCCUUCCAGUAAGUUUGCCCAUUGCUAAGACCUUUCCAUUUGGACAAUUAAUGUGCAGAGUUGCACUUUCCCAUAACCCUAUUACUUCUAGGACUAUUGUAUCUCCUUUGUAAUAGUGCAGGGGAUACUGUUUCCCUGCCAAGAUCCCUUACUGUUAAUGUACAUAAUAGAAAUUCUUGGCUUUAUCAGUAUACUUCAGUAAUACUCCCUCAGUCAGCCAUCAUGACCUCAGCUCUUGGACAAUUAAUAUGCACCAAUAAUAUAUCAAACGUAUGAUCUUUAGAUAGGAUCCCUGUACCCUCACUAUGGAUCAGGAGUACUGACUUAAGGCUUCUUUUUUUGACUCUGGGUGUGAAUAUUUAUCUAUACACCCUUCUAUUAGAGUAGCACAUCAUUCCCUCAUACUCCCUUUGCAUUACUGCAUGGGCUGCUGAUGACACAAAACUUUUACUGGGACUGCUGAUGAGCACAAUGGCAGUUGGCAAUGGGUUUUUCCUCCCUGGUCUUGUUAGGCAGGCACUCUCAGCUCCAAUUUCUCAUGGUAUAAUAAACUAUAAACACUGCACUGUGCUAUGAACUUGUCCAUCAAAGGGUGACCCACAUUCCCACUCCUUUUGCAUUGGCUCCAAUGUAUCAAAUUCCAAGUAAUCAUGGCCUUGCCCUUAUCUUCCCUCUUCAAACCCCUUGCCUGCCCUUGGACCCUUCUUAUGGAUUUUUAACGUUCAUAAUUUCAGGUGUCCAUCUAUCCAGAUAAGAUUAUGCUCCCUCACCCCUCCCACCCCUGCCCUGCCCAUUUUUCACUGUUGCUGGGAAAUGUUGACUGAGCAAAACUUUUCUCUUGGAUUUACAAUGUUAACAGUCCCAGAUGUCAUUGUUCUGCCCACUUUGAAUUUCUAUAAUUCCCUGUUGCGCUUUCCUUGGUCCCACCCAUCAGUCACGGACUCUUCCACUUCCUUCUUUGCGUUACUUCUGAAUAGUGCUGACCACCCACAGCCCCUUCUGUGUUAUUAACACAGUAUUGAUUGUCCCAUUUUUUAGCCCAUCAGCCCAAGAUCUCCACACCAUUUUGAUGUUAUAUUUGUGCAGUAUGGACUACCAAAAGCAGACCUGAACUAGGUGACUGGGCUUUCACUCCUUUUCCUGCAUUUGUUAAUGAUCCCAGUUCCAAUUAUUGUUAUACUCUGGGGACAGAACCGUUCCUGAUCCCCUCUGUUACUGCUUUACUAGGCAAAAUGCUCAAGGCAAGUCAGACCCAAGGGAACUGGAUUGCUACCCUUUAUUUUGGGUUUUCAUUAUAUAUAAAUAUCAUUUGAAAAUUGACUUCCCAGGAAGGAAGGUUAGCACUAUCUGUGCAUUCUUCCUUUCAAAGCAGAUUGCCUGGCUAUGUCUCUCCUUUCCUCUUGUAUAUUGCCACUUUAUAGUGCCAAUUGCCAGGAUACAACCAAAAAGUUUUGGUUUUUUUUUAAAUUUUUUAAGAAAGACAUCUGGAUUGCAGGGUGGAAUUGAUAACCUGGUCAUUGAAAUUUUGAAGUCGGUAAACCCAUUUAUAUCAUGUACCUGAUGACCAGUGUCUCUCAUUUUACUAAGGGUGGUGAGUCUGUGGAUAGACUACUGUGACUUUGAUAUUUUAGUAUAUUACCAAAGGAGUUUUAGAGUGGAACUCUUAAGACCAGUGUCUUUGGGCUCUACCACUAUUUUCAAACCAUUCCUUAUUUGGGCUUUACCAGUAUUCACUUCUAGGAAAAACUACCUAAACUUCCUAAUCGUUAAAUUUCUUCAUCUGGAGCUCCAAUUAGUCCGUACUUAUUUCAAGAAGAUUGCUGUAAAAGGAUAAAAUGAGAGAACAUGCUGAGGUGCUUUUGAAAACCAUAGAUCACUUUGUUUGAUUAAUUAAUUACAUUUUAUGUACCCUGUUUAAUUCUGCUAUUUUAAAGUUACCUAAAGCACCACACUGAAGUGAGGACUUAGAAAUGAUGGAACCAGUUUCCCCAUUUUAUAUGAAAAGAAAAAUAAGCCAAGGUCUAAUCAGUCUUUUGGAUAUAAAUUUCAAUAGUGAAAAUGAAUACAAAUGAAUAACAUCCCAGCCUCUAGUGUAUAAGGUGUUUGGCAGAGAAUUAUUUGAUAUGGAACUGCUGAAGCAAGUAACUAUCACCACAGCAGUUCUUUGUAAUCACUGAAAAAGGAUACUGUUGUCUGAGAAGGAUGUCAAAAGAUCGGCCCAGCUCAGGGUGCAGUUUGCACUACUAGCUCCUUGGACAGCUGUAAGAAGAGUCUCUGGCUCUUUAGAAUACUGGAUGAAUUCUGAGCUGGUUCCCCCCACUCAAGAGGAAGUAUGGAUCAAGUUUAGGUGGACUGAAGCCUGCACUGGACAGCAUCCAAAGGACAUUCCAAGCAUAUCAAACCUGAGAACUGCAAGCAACUUUAAGAAGCUCCAUAUUCAGCAGGUCUUUCCUUUUGAGAAUCUGGAUAAGCUCCAACCAAUCUAAUAGGAUGGCUUGCAGUUUCCCUGGAGAAAGAGAUCUACCUCAAAAGAAUAGGCCUGUUGCUUUACAGUGUUAGUGACCCAUUCCCUUUGACGAUUCCUAGGUGGAGAUGGGGCAUGAGGAUCCUCCAGGGGAAAGACUCACUACCACUGAGCAACAACUCUAGGCCAUGAGGUUCUACCAAGAUUCUUUCCUGGGCCCCGUUAAGAAGGUGAAGUCUCAAGACAAACACCACACAUCCAGAGGGGAACAUGGAUGAUGACUGACACAUCUGUGACACUGAUCAAAGUCUCCCUUGAGGCCCUGUCGGAGAACUUUGCCAAUCAUUUACAUACUUCAAGAUGCCUUGGGAAAGCUGUGCGACAAAACAAAAAACAAGCUGUUUGAGAAGAUAAAACAGAGAUUUAUCUUUUUAUGCUCUGCCUGAUAAUUGACAGAAGCUUCACAGCUAUGAAUGGGAAUGUGAUUAGAAGUGGCACAAAGUUGUCUAUCAUCAGACUGGAUCUAAAGGACUAGCACACUGUGUACUCUAGCUCGUGGUUGUUUCCUUCAUAUUUGCCAAAUCAUUAUCUUUCCCUGAAGCAGUGCAAAGAGCAAGAAAUGUGAACACACCAAGGAAGAUCAACAUGCCUGGCAUGCUAGCAUUUUAGAAUACCAAAGUGAAUGUGUAUUUGUUUGCUUGUCUAUUUCUUCUCUGAAUGUCUUUGGUCUUUCUUGUCUAAAGUAUGUCUUACCCAUUUCCAUGAUUCUCUUGCUGGUUUCUUCUCUGUGUAUCUUUGUCUCAUUUACUUUUUCAUACUCAGGAGUGGUCUGUGUCUUGUCUUAGAUGUCUCUCUCUAGUUUUCUUCAUUUUGUUACUGAUUCUCCUUGCUCUGCUAGAUCUAGCUCUUCUUUCACUGUUUUCUUUGAGCCUCUUGGGUUGUGUGUGCCUUUUGCUCAUUUCUUGCUAUGCCUGCCUCUCUUCUUUUUCUCUUUGUGAAUUCUGUCACCUGUUCCCCUUGUUGGUUUGACAUUUCACCUUUUCUGAUACUGGCUACCCUUCUGCUGUUUCUACUCUUUAUCUUGCGUAUUUCUCUUUUCUACAUGUUCUUUGUGUCUUUCUUCGGCCAUUUUCUCUUUUUUUCCCCAUGCUUUGUGUGCCCCAGUGUCUCUUUGUUCUUUGUGAUUUUCAAUUUCAGCAUUCAUCUCUGUUCUCCUGAUUCUUCUCUUCUUUUGCCUUUCUAUUCACUUUUGAGUAUUUCUUGAGUCUAUGUCUCCCCCUCUUUGAUUUCAUGCAAUUCUCUCUCCUGCAUGUUUUUUUGUGCAUGUGUGUGUGUACUCUUGUGUGUGUUUGUAAAGGGGUCUCCUAACCCCUUCCAGUAGGUGCAGAGUGUCAAUUAUCAAAAUAAGCAUGGCAGAGCUGUUCCUUAUGCCAGACCGCCCUGUGAGAUGAUCCAAAACCAACAGAAGGUCCAAAUGUCUAGACUGGAGUUGGAUUGAAGACUCAAGUCUCAGUGAGACAGAAGGCCAAAGACUCAGGAUGGGAUUAAAAAACCUUGACUUGAAGACUUGUGACCCAAAAGAUGGAAGUAACCAAGCACACAUAAAGACCCAGGACUCAAACCUAUCUAUAUAAGACAGAAGGCCCAAGAGAGACAGAUAUUUCAAGACUAAAUUAGAUGGGAAACUGGAGGUUCAUGACAGAGAUACCAGGAAGGAAAGAAGCCCCAGGACCAAAGGAAAUUCCAAGAUGAGAAUCUUAAACCCCAGCUCUUCUCUAUUGCUCUUUUCCUUACUCUUGGACAUUUUUAGUUCUCCCUUCCUUCUUCUCAUGUCUCCAUUUAAAUCUACUUCUUUUGAAAUAUCCUUUUUGAUGUUGCUGUUACCUUUAAAAAAAAAACACAUAUCUUUAGAUCAGUAAUAUUAUGCUUUGGCCUGUUUUUAUUACAGUUUUGAGCUACUUAUUAAUUUUUGAAGUUUUAAACUUCCAUUUCUCUUCACCUCCUCUCCACUUGAGAGGGACACAUAGCUGACAUUAUAUUUCAGUCCCCUCUUUCCUCAGCAGCUCUAGGCUGAUGAGAGAAGGAAAGUAUCAGGUUCAGUUACUGAGGGGAAACAAAGUGCCAAACUAUCUAGAGAAAAUGUGAAGAGAUGCUCCAGGCCAAUGAGAAGAAUUAGAUAAGAAAUACACAGAUGUGCCAGUUUGCUGAGAAUUGCCAGCCAGCAACAUCUUACUUAUUUGAGCUUGAGUGAUCAGGAUACCUGAGGUUUGGGGUUCUUACUGAUGGUUAUGAAGGAGGAUUGGACCUAACACAUAGUGAGGCCCCAAGGAAGGAGCAUGAACUCCCUGUUCAUAGUAGUGGCCUAAUAAUGUAGUAAGCUGCAUCAAUUCUGUCCCUGGGUUUAAUACCCACCUCUAGGCUUAAAGGUGAGAAAAUUUGGGAAUAUUUAGCAGGCUUAAUCCUUUCCUUGAUUUUUUUCCUCUUACCAUAAAUAAAGAUAAUUUUAGUGAUAAUAUAUAUGAAAGCACUAUAAAACACAGAAAAAAAGAAAGGCAUUCUCAUUAAUAAUGUAUUGGCACCCAUACACAGCUAACAUUUGAAAAUGCGUUGUCAGUUGCGAAGCAUUACGUAAAUCAAGGGUUAUCACACCCUUUUUGUAAAGGGUCAGAUGGCAAUUAUUUUAUACUUUGCAGGCCAUAUGGUCUCUCUUUGCUUUUUUUUUAAAAAGUAAAUAUGAUCUGUGGGCCACAGUUUAUCACCCCUGAUGUAAUUGCCAGGGACUGUGUGCUGAACGAUAUUAAUUUCUUUGUGCCUGUCCCUGUAUGCACUAAGGAUGCAGUGAUUACUUAUGGUCAUAUCCAGGUGAUAUGAAGAAAAAUAUGUGAAUGUGAGUUAUAAACUAUUAUGCACUUUAAAAGCUUGUCACAAUUUUCAGAGUUGAUGAAUGAACAUUGAUUACAUGGUAUAUAUAUUUCUAGGCACUGUAUAUACAAAGAACAAAAGCGUGAAUAAAGUGCUUUCUCAAAAGUAUGUAUUACUGUACAGAUAUUAGGAAUUAAGUCUAUGAUAAAUGAGCAAUUCAUAUAUAUGUGGCCACUGUGUUUCUGUGGCUAUGGUGAUUUUGAGUAAAGACGUAGUAUUCCAAGUCACAGAAAACAUUGUUCAGUCGCUAAGUCGUGUCUGACUCUUUGUGACCCCAUGAACUGCAGCAUGCCAGGCUUCCAAACCCUUAAACUAUAAAGUAUACUGUAAACACAAGGGAUUUAAGCUAUUGUGAUUACUUAUAAUGUGCCAGAUAACAUCCUGGGCUCUACAGAUGUCAAAGGAAAAAAAUGUUCUUAUUAUAGAAUAAUUAAAAUUUUUAGGCAGUACAUUUUAAAGUGCUUUGUACUAAAGCACUGUAUAAAUAUCAAUGGGCUAUAUGUUCAUGAAUGAAUGAAUAAGUAUUAAUUUCCUUAUAUAUGCCAGCUAUUGUUUCAGGUACUGUGAAAUCCAAGACAAUGCUCCCAAGUAAUAAGAGGGAUGUUUAUGUCCUAUACUACUUAGAUAUAAGGAAUUAGAUAUUAUGUAUUUUAGUCAAUAAAUACUUUACUGGUCAUGUUGAACCAAGUUAUUACCAGUAUAUUUUCCAGGGUAACAGGAAAAUGUAAUGAAUGAGAUUGAGCUUUCUAACUAUAAAAUACUACAUAAAUAUAAAACAUUAGGUGUUUUCUCUGUGAACAAAACUUACGUGAGACAGACAUUUGUGUGUGUUAGUCGUUCAAUCGUGUCUGACUCUUGUGACCCAAUGGACUGUAACCCACCAGACUCCUCUCUCCGUGGAUUUUUCCACACAAGAAUACUGAAGUGGGUUGUCAUUCCCUUCUCCAGGGGAUCUUCCUGACCCAGAAAGUGAACUGAGGUCUCCUGUAUUGCGGGCAGAUUCUUUACCAUCUGAGCCACAGAUUCUCAUUGUGUGCUUGACCGACUAUGAGAAAGGUAGUAUAAAUAGUUAUAUAAACUGAGAGUUUAAAUACUCGGUAAGUGAAUGGGUCAUUAAUAUCAGUUGCCUACUAUGUGAACUCACUGUUAUAGGCACUAAAGAGACACACAAAUUUAUCAUUUUAUUGUGCCUGCAGCUGAGAAUAAGCAAUAUAUAUGUUAGUAUUUUGUGAACUCUAAAGCACCAUAUAAGUGUAACUAUUGAUUUCCUCAGUUGGUAUGCCUAAUACUAGGCUUACAAAAUUGUAUCAUAGUUAUUAUACCAUGAAAAAAGUCAGAAAAAAUUUGAGCAAGGAUUGUUAAUUAUUGAACACUCCAAAUAUGAUACAUAAAGGACUAAAUGUCUGAUGAAUGCAAGACUGGAUGAUAAUUAUGUGCCAGUCUCCUUGAUAAGCAUAAAAGAUAUGAAGAUAAUGCAUCUUUAUUGUGUUCUGGGCAGCAGAAGGUAAUGUAUAAAAUCAAUUUGUAGGUCUUAAACUGGCAUACAUAUAUAAGCCAUAUCUGCUGAAUGAACAUUGAUUACUUUUUCUUAUUCCAAGAGAUAGCAACUAGGGAUGCAAAAAUUCAUUGUCAUUAUUGUUGAACCUGCAACAGAGAUCUGUGUAAAUUUUACAAAGCUUACUGUUCUAUACAGAUCUAAAGAAUUAACUGUUGGCUUAAUGAAUGGUUACUGAUUACUUUCCAUCUAUAAAGCUCAGAACUGUGUAUGCUCUAGGAUAUAAAAAUGACUCUCCUUAUCAGAUGGAGUAAAUAACAUGUGUGGUAAUCCAGACUAAAAGUUACUUAACCAUUGCUUAGCUUAUUUGAUGAUAAAAAACAUGGGCAGAAUGGAAUUGUGCAAGGCAGUAUGCUGAAUGCUGAGCUAGGUGGAAAGAUAAAAUCCAGACCAGAAGCCACUUGCUCCCUGGUUUGACUGAAGGAAUGAAAUUUUUUUGUUUCUUUGUUUAAAGAGCAAGAUGUUGUCAUUCUCCUUUGAUUUUUUAAAUGCUGAAUGCUGAAGAUGGAGGUGAAUUCGAUCCACUCUGGCCUGGCAUAGAGACAUUGAAAGAGUAAAAAAUGGUUCAGGUUGGCUUUUAGAUUAAUUUGAUGAACAGCAUCUUUUAUAUAAAAUACAUCAUUCUAGGUCCUGAGCAUAAGAGAAGUGAAAGGGGCCUAGUCUAAAGGACUUUAGAUAGACCAAAGAUCAUAGCUGAAGAUCCAAAAACAUCUUUGAGUUUUGAGUAAAUAUUUGAGUUCCUGUUCUCUAGAUCCUAUUCCUGUUCCUUGAAUUCUUGUUCCGGUUUUCUUGGUUAAGUCUGGUCCAGAAAACCUAUUAAUUUGCCUUGAAAAUUAAAAAAAAAAUAGAAAAAAAAUAUGGUUCUUUCAAUGUAAAAUGAAGAUAUUUUUCUUGGCUCUAGAAAAUAUCAAUGUCAUGUGCUCAUUGACCUAGAUUGAAGCCAGGAGAUUGUUAAAAAGGCCUCAGGGUUUGUCCUUUAAUUCAUUAAUAUUCUGUUUUUAUUAUAGUUAAAUGGGUAAGAUGAGAAUUAAGAUUAUUAUGGCAUAGAGCCAGGAAGACAAUAAAAAAGAUCCUUCCUAAAUUUUCCAUAUUUUGUAAAGUAUUCACUUGAGUGAAGUACUGUUCAUAAGUGCUGAGGAGAAUAAAGAGGUUUAAAAGACCUAGACCAGAAUAUAAUUUCACUAGUUCAUGGAGGACACACAAGAACAAAUUUAAUAGGAGAUUGCAGUUCUUUCAUUAGUUGAGAAAACUAAAGUAGCUGUGAUGUUAAGAUACUGAGAUGGAAUGAUUAAACAGAUCACCUUCUCUUUGGCAUGUUUUGUAGAGAAGGAAUAAGAAAGCUUUUCAGUUAUUCAUACAAACAUUGAAGAAGGUGAUGCUAAAUGAAAUAGAUGUGGUAAAAAGGUAAUUGUCUUGGAGAUGCAGUUAAAAAAAAACCAGGAAAUGGAGUGAAACUUCAUUGAAUGAGUGUGCAUUGUGCUAAUUCCUAGACAGAAAACAAAAAAGAUCUUGACUGAAAGACACUUACUUGACUUGGAAACUGGUAUGUAAGAGAAAAGGUUAUUGUUAAUUAAUUUUUAAAAUUUAUUCAUUCAUUCUACAAGUAUGUUUGAAUGCCUAUUGUGUAUAAGCUCCUUAGCUGGGUUCUAGCUAGGUUCUCUAGCUAGCCCCCGGAGACAUGAGAAAAUGAAUGCCUUCCCGGAGAACUUAAAAUGCCGUUUGGCCUGUUUUCUGAUUAGGGCUAUGGCUUACUUCCUCAAUAAUAUUGUGUGGUUUAAUUCUGACUCCAUCUUCAACCACUCUGGCCACUACAAUAAGCAGGGGUUUUUACUGAGCUUGCUCCUUAAGUUGCAGGGUCCUUCCUUAUAAUAAAACACUUCCGUUUUCCUAACCCAUCCCUCAUGAAAAAUGGUUGUGACCAUAGUAGGCCAAAAGAGGGAUGAGAAGCAACUGAUUUCCAAACCUCGGUCUCAUUGGUACCAACCUUGAAGAACCACUCAUACUCAAAUCACAAUUGGUUUUGAAACACACUUACAGUUUUGUCUAUGACAAACAUACACUGCCCAAGUCUUUUUAAAAAACAAUCCUCUAAUAUUACUUAGCAAGUUUGGAGAUGGAGACAUGAUUUGUGUUUUGCAACAACAGCUUCUCAACUUACAACUUAGAAAUCUUUUCCUUUUCACUAUCAAAACCUGCUUAAGAUAAGACUUGAAAAUAGCCUAACAAUUUUACCAUGCUUAAAUCUUAAGAAUAAUAGAAAUUGAAAGUAUUUGGCAAAUGUUGGAGGGAAAAAUCUACAUCUAGGACCAAAUGGGCUUUGGCCUUUUCUAUUUUUAAAUCACUCACAGAGGGUGGGAUAGGAGGAAGAGUGAAAGAAAAGGCCAAGCCUGAUUCUAAAAAUGGGUUGGUCUUAAAAGCAUUGCUACCUCCAGAUCUAACUUGGGGAUUGCUGUUUUUAGUGUAAUUCAAUUUUAAUAACUGGUCACUGUUAAAAUGAAGACAAAGCUUUUGUCCCUACUCAUUUCUAAAAGUGUUUCAAGUGCUCGGGCAUGGUGCAUUGGGAAGACCCAGAGGGAUUGGGUAGAGAGGGAGGUGGGAGGGAGGAUCGGGAUGGGGAAUACAUGUAAAUCCAUGGCUGAUUCAUGUCAAUGUAUGACAAAACCCACUACAAUAUUGUAAAGUAAUUAACCUCCAACUAAUAAAAAUAAAUGGAAAAAAAAAAAAGAAAUAAUUUUUGGCUUAAUGGCUAUCAGUUAAGCCUGGGGUUAUAUAAUUAUGGAAUUUAUUAAAUCUAUGUGACCUCUCCAUCAUAAGGUAGUCUUAAAGCUAAAGUCAGUCCACCACAAAGAAAGAAGACUUUAUCGUUCACUAUAAUUCAUACAUACUUUCAAAGCAUCUAAACUUUGAAGUUUACAUGGCAAGACAACAAUACCAUCUGUAAAUAUAGAAGGAAAUAGAAGAAUGGCAGGGGAUAGUUGCUGGAGGGAGCAAAUUUGAAGGGGAUUUGGGGUAAUGUUUGUAGUUUUUGCUUUAUACAUUUUUAUUUAGGCAUAAGGUAUAUCUGAUAUUAAUAAUGUUUGGUGUUUAAUAUGUACUAUUAGCUGGAUUCAGUAACUCCCCUUUCUCCAGGUAGGGAUGAGAGAUGCAUUAUUGGAAAGGAGAAAGUAACAAUCUUCAUUUAACAGUUUUUGGCAUCCCAAGGCCACCACUACUGAUGAACAAAAAUAAUAGAACAUUCUGUCAUCUGAUUUUUGUGGCAUAAAUGAAGUUGUGAACAAAUUUUUUUUUUUCUUAAGAAAAAGAAACAGCUUUGCAUCUACCCGUUUACCUUAAAGGGAUCUAUGCCAAAAUGCUCUGAUGAAUGGAAGACACACUUGGACUUGUGAACUGAUGUGAAACAUAUAAUAUCUGAACCUUGGUUGUUUAGAAGAUUGAAAAGUCUUGUUCAGUUCAGAUGACCACCAAAAAAGCAACCUAAAGCUGUCUAUAUGUCACAACUGAGACAAAUUGGGGAGUUUGUUGUUUAAUGUCAAAUAAAAAUGUACUGUUCGAAA